RNAcentral lists this ribosomal RNA (252 nucleotides) under uncultured bacterium. Its description in RNAcentral is "partial 16S ribosomal RNA". It matches the Rfam family "Bacterial small subunit ribosomal RNA", at positions 524 to 776 of the family's 1533-position model. The record is from RNAcentral.
UACGUAGGGGGCUAGCGUUAUCCGGAAUUACUGGGCGUAAAGGGUGCGUAGGUGGUUUCUUAAGUCAGAGGUGAAAGGCUACGGCUCAACCGUAGUAAGCCUUUGAAACUGGGAAACUUGAGUGCAGGAGGGGAGAGUGGAAUUCCUAGUGUAGCGGUGAAAUGCGUAGAUAUUAGGAGGAACACCAGUUGCGAAGGCGGCUCUCUGGACUGUAACUGACACUGAGGCACGAAAGCGUGGGGAGCAAACAGG